RNAcentral lists this ribosomal RNA (237 nucleotides) under uncultured bacterium. RNAcentral describes it as "partial 16S ribosomal RNA". It matches the Rfam family "Bacterial small subunit ribosomal RNA", at positions 15 to 252 of the family's 1533-position model. The record is from RNAcentral.
GAUCCUGGCUCAGAGUGAACGCUGGCGGCGUGCCUAAUACAUGCAAGUCGAACGGAGAUUAAAUAGCUUGCUAUUUAAUCUUAGUGGCGCACGGGUGAGUAAUGUAUAGUUAAUCUGCCCCAUGGUGGAGGACAACAGUUAGAAAUGACUGCUAAUACUCCAUACUCCUUCUUAUCAUAAGUUAAGUCGGGAAAGUUUUUCGCUAUGGGAUGAGACUAUAUCGUAUUAGCUAGUUGG